UCAGUCGACUCCUACGGGGAGGCAGCAGUGAGGAAUAUUGGGUCAAUGGGCGCAAGCCUGAACCAGCCAUGCCGCGUGCAGGAAGACUGCCCUAUGGGUUGUAAACUGCUUUAUACAGGAAGAAACACUCCCUCGUGAGGGAGCUUGACGGUACUGUAAGAAUAAGGAUCGGCUAACUCCGUGCCAGCAGCCGCGGUAAUACGGAGGAUCCAAGCGUUAUCCGGAAUCAUUGGGUUUAAAGGGUCCGUAGGUGGAUUAGUAAGUCAGAGGUGAAAUCCUGCAGCUCAACUGUAGAACUGCCUUUGAUACUGCUAGUCUUGAGUCAUUAUGAAGUGGUUAGAAUGUGUAGUGUAGCGGUGAAAUGCAUAGAUAUUACACAGAAUACCGAUUGCGAAGGCAGAUCACUAAUAAUGUACUGACACUGAUGGACGAAAGCGUGGGGAGCGAACAGGAUUAGAUACCCUGGUAG
RNAcentral lists this ribosomal RNA (469 nucleotides) under uncultured bacterium. RNAcentral's name for it is "bacterial SSU rRNA". It matches the Rfam family "Bacterial small subunit ribosomal RNA", at positions 328 to 793 of the family's 1533-position model. The record is from RNAcentral.